GCAGCCGCGGUAAUACGUAGGGGGCAAGCGUUAUCCGGAUUUACUGGGUGUAAAGGGAGCGUAGACGGUAAAGCAAGUCUGAAGUGAAAGCCCGGGGCUCAACCCCGGGACUGCUUUGGAAACUGUUUAACUAGAGUGCUGGAGAGGUAAGCGGAAUUCCUAGUGUAGCGGUGAAAUGCGUAGAUAUUAGGAGGAACACCAGUGGCGAAGGCGGCUUACUGGACAGUAACUGACGUUGAGGCUCGAAAGCGUGGGGAGCAAACAGGAUUAGAUACCCC
RNAcentral lists this ribosomal RNA (278 nucleotides) under uncultured Lachnoclostridium sp. RNAcentral describes it as "partial 16S ribosomal RNA". It matches the Rfam family "Bacterial small subunit ribosomal RNA", at positions 511 to 788 of the family's 1533-position model. Lineage: Bacteria; Bacillati; Bacillota; Clostridia; Lachnospirales; Lachnospiraceae. The record is from RNAcentral.